Molecule: transfer RNA, 64 nt
Filed under: Lygodactylus capensis (Cape dwarf gecko)
Lineage: Eukaryota; Metazoa; Chordata; Lepidosauria; Squamata; Gekkonidae
Description: tRNA-Trp
Source: RNAcentral
AAGUUUAGGUUAGCCAAACCAAGGGCCUUCAAAGCCCUAAACAGGGCCCGGGCCCUAACUUCUG